CAGUCGCCACGGGAAUACGUAGGUGGCAAGCGUUGUCCGGAAUUAUUGGGUGUAAAGGGCUCGCAGGCGGUUUCUUAAGUCUGAUGUGAAAGCCCCCGGCUCAACCGGGGAGGGUCAUUGGAAACUGGGAAACUUGAGUGCAGAAGAGGAGAGUGGAAUUCCACGUGUAGCGGUGAAAUGCGUAGAGAUGUGGAGGAACACCAGUGGCGAAGGCGACUCUCUGGUCUGUAACUGACGCUGAGGAGCGAAAGCGUGGGGAGCGAACAGGAUUAGAUACCCCAGUAGUCCCUGUCUCUUAUAC
Molecule: ribosomal RNA, 301 nt
Filed under: uncultured bacterium
Lineage: Bacteria
Description: partial 16S ribosomal RNA
Rfam family: Bacterial small subunit ribosomal RNA
Source: RNAcentral